Molecule: unclassified non-coding RNA, 215 nt
Filed under: Hevea brasiliensis (rubber tree)
Lineage: Eukaryota; Viridiplantae; Streptophyta; Magnoliopsida; Malpighiales; Euphorbiaceae
Source: RNAcentral
UUGGCCGGCACAGACCCUGGACUUGUUUGUUUGUAUAUAACAAUUCUUAAUCACCAGGUUUUGCCAAAAACCAAUGGUUCAAUGUCUAUAGCACUAUCAGAACUUGAGAAUGUGGAAAUAGUAAGGUCGUUGCUUUCCAUUUAAGUUUAAACAUCUUUUUGCAAGAUUGGCAACUACUUCAACUUCUUCUUUAAGACAAUCGUCCACAAUUCGAG